This 7121-nucleotide long non-coding RNA is filed under the name Sus scrofa (pig). RNAcentral describes it as "lncRNA (ENSSSCG00015001669.1)". The record is from RNAcentral. Lineage: Eukaryota; Metazoa; Chordata; Mammalia; Artiodactyla; Suidae.
GAUUGUAUGUGUUUGUUAUGGGAAACCUCCCAACUUGGAUUUUAUGGUUGCAGCAGAUACAAUUAACUGUCUCUGGAAACAUCUUCCAAGUCUAAUACUGCAUUACCUUUUCUCUUGAAUCACUUAUGUCUGUGUUAAUAUUGGAUAUUUCUAAGGAGGUGGCAAUUGUCCUGAUCAGAAAUAUAUUUUAAGUGGCCUUUUAAAAAGCCAGAGAUAAAAGAGCAGAGAGGAAAUUAUCUGCUUCUUAUCUGAAGGAUAAUGAAAAGUGAAGAAUGAUGACACUCUUAGUGAGCUAGGCCAGAUGUCAUAAUUAGUGUAGCUCAUCAUAAGCAUUUUAGAGCUAAAAUAGAGCACAGAAAUAAUCUAAACCUCUUUUUCUUUCUUUCUUUCUUUCUUUUUUUUUUGGCUGAGCCUGAAGCAUACCAAAGUUCUUAGGCCAGGGAUGGAACCCAAGCUACAGAUGUGACAAUGCUGAAUCUGUAAUGUCCAGGCCACCAGAGAACUCUUAAACCUACUUUUGAAUUUCAUAAAUGAGGUACUGUUGUGAAAUGGCUACCCAAAUUAGUCAGCUAUGCAGUGAGGCUUCAAAUCUGUAUCUCAAGAACUCUCUUUCAGCUGCUAUUGCUGAAUGGAGUCAGAUGUUCUCGUACCAAACUAGCUGUUACUUGUAUUUUAUCCUCUAAGUGUACUUGUAUAACAUUUCCUGGCUUAUAAUUGAGAUGAUAUGGAAAUCUUAUGAUUUACAUUUUUAUAGAAUUUUUGAGGCCUGUAGAUGUAUGUAAGUUGGAAAUGUCUUUGUUACCUGUGAAAGGCGCUGAUUUCUCACAAAUCGAUUCAGCAUUUACCACUAAUUAUAAUGUGUUAGGGAGUAAACAAGGUAGCGUGGGCUAUCAAGACUAGGUGUUGCUCAUAGUGGCAUUAAAAAUGAAGGGAAUUAGGGUAAAAGUUUUCUUGAGUUUCUGGCCCUGAUCCAUCAAGCAGUUGUUGAUGAAAUUCAUUACCUUUGUGUCUUGUUAAAGGCAGAGACCUAAUUGAAAAUCAGAGUUCUUUUGGAGAAAGAUCAAGUCAAGUACAGUAAAGAUUAUGGAGGAAGGGUUGGCUGACUAUAGUCUGAAGCCCACUGGUUUUUGCAAGCUAACACUGGUUUUUCUUUUCUUUCUUUCUUUCUUUCUUUCUUUCUUUCUUUUUUUUUUUUUAAAGUUUUAGUGAAGUAUAGUUGAUCUACAAUGUUGUGAUAAUUUCCGCUGUACAGCAAAUUGAUUCAGUUAUUCAUAUAUACACAUCCAUUUUUUUCAUAUUCUUUUCCUGUAUAGAUUAUCACAGAAUAUUGGGCAGAGUUUCCUGUGCUAUACAGCAAUUUCUUGUUGGUCAGUCAUUCCAUAUAUAGCACAGUGAGCAUAUACCAGUCUCAAACCCCUAGUCCAUCCCUCCCCCAACCUGUCCCCUUUGGUAACCAUAAAUUGCUAAUGAUGACUUUUUUAAAAGUUAAAUGGUUGAGAAAAAUCGAAAGAAAAAUACUUUAUAAUAGAUGAAAAUUAUAAAAAAUCCAAUUUCACAGUCUAUAAAUAAAGUUUUAUUGAAACACAGCUACAUAUACUCACUUGUUUAUGUAUUGUUUAUGCACAAAAAAGCCAGAAUUGAGUAGUUGUUACAUAGGCUGGAUGGUCCCACAGAAUCUAAAAUAUGUAGUAUUUGGAUCUUUAUAGCCAGAGUGCCAGGCCCUGUUAUAAAACAUCAAGAUUAGCUUAUGUGUUGGAGUACUAUGGCAAUUUAUGGAUUUUUUGCUUACUAAAAUCUCUAGCUGAUUACUACCACAUUUAUUGAAAGAUUCUCCACUGUUUUUUGCCUCUAGGACAACCCACAAUAGUUCAUUCAUGACUGCUUUUCAUGACUUCCUUUGCUUAUUUUCCAGUGGUUCCUUUUGCCAGAUAGAUGAACAGACCAAAACCACACAGGAAGGUCUGUGGCUUUUCUAAAGAAGCUUUCUACAGAUGAAUGUGUUUGGCUUGGGUACCUCUCUAGUUGUUGUAGAAACCUGGAUUUUGCUUUGGUCUUUACACUAGAGCUUUGAUUCAGAUACAUAUAAUAUGAUCCUCACUUUCCAAGUUAAAAUGAACAAACACAAUUAUUGUUAGAUCCAUGCUUGUGUGAGGAAAAUCUUAAUCUUUCAUAUUUUUGCCAGGCAUUUUAAUAAUGCUAGUUAUGUUUCUCAUGACUUUUAAUUUUAUAUCAAAGUUAGCUGAUGUAUAUUCUUUAUUGGUUAGCCUUAAAUAUUUAAACCAAUGUCUCUUUUUACAUUAAUCUUUUUGAUAGAAUAAACACAUCAGUGCUGUUCUAUCUCUUAUAAAAGUUAUUUCCCCCAUCUUUGCAGCUGUGGUUACUUGAUGUCAGUUCACUUGGGGCUUGUAUAAGAAGGGGGUGGCCCUACUACUUUGUAAGAAGUCCUAGCCUUGCAGCCACUGAGAGCUUUGGGUCCUGCCGCCAUUGCCACCAUUCUUUUCAAGCAUAGCAAACAGGUGUUUUCUAUCUAGAAAUCAGCUUUCUCUGAGAGUUUGGAUUUAAGUAAAGCAGAUCUUCUAUCCUGUUUCACCUUGCCUUUGGUCAUGGUUGAGCUUUUGUGCAUGGUGAGGAUGAUUUUUAACUUUGUCUUGGAAAAUGUAUAGCAUGGUUCUGGGUCAUGGUAUUGAGCUGAACAGUUGCCUUCUUAUAUCAUAGACCUGUUUUGUUACCUUGAUGCUUCUCUGUUAGCUUACUUAAAAGUUUUGGGCUCAUGCUGUUAGAGACUUCUUUGGGCAGAGAACCCUUUUUGCAGUGGAGUGGUCUCACAUAAUGGAAUAGGUCAUAGGGUAAUUGUGCAGUUCUGUAAGCAAAGCCAAUGAAGGUGGAAGGAAUGUGAAAAAGAAAUAGGCAGAGGCAGGCUGGAGUAGGUGGUAAGAAGCAUGGGAGAGCAGCAACUUGACUUCUUUAGUAAGACUGAGAGUAAAGGGAAGUUAUUCUAACUGAGAGUAAACUGACUCAUUAAGACAUUUGGACUUAACUGACUUGUUGGUGAGGAAGGUGAGAAUAGAAACUGGAGGGAAAACUCCAUAUUAUCAUUUCUGAAAUAACAGGAUGAGGUUUGUUUUUUGUUUUUUGCCAUUUCUUGGGCCACUCCCACGGCAUAUGGAGGCUCCCAGGCUAGGGGUUGAAUCGGAGCUGUAGCCACCGGCCUACGCCAGAGCCACAGCAACGCGGGAUCCGAGCCGCGUCUGCAACCUACACCACAGCUCACGGCAACGCCGGAUCGUUAACCCACUGAGCAAGGGCAGGGAUCGAACCCGCAACCUCAUGGUUCCUAGUCGGAUUCGUUAACCACUGCGCCACGACGGGAACUCAAGGAUGAGCUUUUAUAAUCUAACCCUGGGUCAGGGUUUUAAAAUGUUCAAUAACUGGGUUAUUGUAUGGGUCGGAAAUACGUAUUAUGGUAAAUGGUUUCAGGUUUAAGAGGAAAGGGUGAAAUGGGAGCUAAGUUCGUUCUCCUUCUCUGAGGAGGGUGAAGGGCUGUGGACACACCCAGCAGGAACUACUCUAGGUAGCAUAGCCAUGACAGGGAAAGAGAAGAGAUCUAUCUCAGUCCCUGAGCUGUCAUCUGCAGAAAACUUGGCACUCCCGGUCCAGGCUAUCUCAAUCAUGUUUUGAAAGGAGGGGUCACCUUCAGAAGCUUUAUAGCUGGCACUCAGGCCUUGUUGACCUAAGAGGUGGAACCCACCAGGCCAUGAAGCAUCCAGUAGGAAGGGCCUCCAACAGUUAUUUCUCUUGUGUUUUAUGAGUGUUUGUCUGUUCACCCCUAGGCUGAGUUAAUGGGGCCUAUCUCGAGAGGAACAGUGCUUGAGCAGUUGGAGGAAUCAGCCAUUCAAUGUAAAUGCACUGGAUUUGGACAAUACAUGCUGACUCCCUGGUUUCCCACCCUUGAGGUGGGACUGUUCCCAAAGCCCUAGGAUGAAAGAGGGGAUGGUGUGGGCUAGAGAAACAAGAAGAGCUACCUUCUGGGAGUUACAUGAGUUUUCUCAGGCAGCUGUAACUGGUUUAAAGUAGGAUCCUAGAUCCUUAGAGUUGGACUGGAUUUUGGGAAUCAUCCAAUUCAUCCUCCUCCUUUUGCUGGUCCAGGACUUAUCCCAGACUAGAAAGGUAAUGAGCGGCAGUGUUGAGGCUAGACCCCAGAUCUGUUGAUUCAAUAACUAUGCCUCUUCUGGCUUGGACUGUGAAGGGGUAAAUUGUAACAUGGAUCUGGGAUGGGAUUUGGGGGUGCAUUGUGGCCUCCUCAUAAGUCAGUAAGUUGCACUUAGGACAGUAGUCCCUUGGCCAUAGGCUAGAACAGGUGACCUACAAAGAACCUCUGACUCCUGUGACUUGUAACUGUGUGUUGAAGAGGACUGUGAUGUGAUUAUUUCUUUGUCUGAGGGGUGCACCUGGGUAUACUAGUGAGUCUUCUUUGCUGAGGGUAGAUGGGGCUAGAGAAGAUUUUUGGGGAGGAAGGCAGCGGGAUCUAGUUGAAGAUGUAUUCAUCCUGAAGCUGCAGUCAGAAGAACCUGCUCAGACUCUUUUAGAGGCCAGACAAGUAGUUAUCUACUGUGGCAUUUGGAAACUGGAAAGUAGAGAUGGAGGGCCUCAGUGGUUGCUGGGAGGGUGGGGGUAGUACAUAGUACAGGUCCUUUUAUGGUUAUAGCAUUCUGCACUUGAGUACUUAUUUCUGCUUAACUGACUAGUGCAACUCUCAUUUUAAGCUAGCACAAUAACUCUACACACUAUCCCUUUCAUUUAUUUAUCUUUUUAAUUUUUCCAUAUGUUGGGUUUGAACAUACACUAUAAAAAGAAUUUUUUUAAACUCUGACUGAAAUAUUUGGCAAACUGCAGGGUUGGUUUUAUUGGAAAAAAUGAACCUAGUUUUUGGAAAUGAUUUUUCUUGUUCUACUUGCAUUUGCUCUAUGGAGGUGGUUUGUGUAGUGGUUAAUAAGCAUAAGGACUCUGAGUGAAGUUACUUGGGUUGAAUCCUGGCUCUUUUAUGUAUAGUGUGUGAUUUUAUUUAAAUUAUUACCCUCCAUGCCUCAGUUUAAAAUAAGGAUAAUAACUCACAGAGUUGUUGUGAGGGUUAAAUAAGUUAAUACAUGAGUUAGAACAAUGCCCAGUCUACAUUAACUGAUGUUUACAAAUUAGCUGUUAUCACGUCCCAAGCGGUUGAUCUAAGCCAUUUAUCAUACAACUUAUAAGGUAGUUGAGGCUCAGAUGGUUUUAAAAACUUAAGAUCAUCCAGCUAAGAAGUGGCUAAGGUAUGUCUUAAACCUUCUUUAUCUGAUGCAAGGCCUAACUCUCAACCACUCUUUCUGAGGUGUGCUAGAUCAGCUAACUAUAGAUUGUAGGUUUUAUAGCUAUCUACCCAUCUACCCAACUAUACAUAUAUCUUCUAUUUACAAAUUUGGAUUUUUCUUUAUGUUCUCAUUUUACUAAUAAAUACAUUUCCUUAAAAAUAUCUGUGACUUAAGAAUUAUAAAAUAUACAAGAUAAAAUUUUUUUAAAUUGCUCUUAAAAUAAUGUUACUCAAAUAUUAGAUAAGAACUGUAAAAAUCCAUGGUAACAGUUAUAAAUUGUGAAAGGCUAAAAUGUCAUUUCAUGUGACAUCUGAUAAUGGCUAUCUGGGUUUCCACACACUGGUAAGUUGUGUGGAAAUUAAGACAGUUAUUAUUAAGCACUUUAAGCCUAUCAUUUUAAAACAAUCAUGGCAUUAAUGUUUUAACCAUUUGCACAUUUUAAUUACCAGGAAGAAACUAUAUCACAUUUUUAUAGCUGAUAGAAAGCUCCCCAGUCCCUACCCUAGAUUGAAAUAAAGAGAAUUAAGGCCUGAGAAGUCAGACAGGGCUGCUUAGCAACAGUGACAGGUGAGGUUGAUGAGAAUUAACAGCUUUUGACUGUUAGCAGAAUGGUGGUGUAAUGAGAUCGGCUUAUGGUAAUAAAGCAUUGACUAGCUGGCUGAAUGAAAUGAUGCUUUCUCAUUUAUUUCAUAAAAUUAUUAAUGUAAUAUUUAGCUCAGAAUGUUUAGAUUUCUGUAAUAUUCAUACUUUUGAUAUUUUAUUAAAAUAUAAAUAUUUUAAAUAUUCUAUAAAAUUUUAUUUUAUAGACUCAUAUUGUGUAUUGUCAGCUUUGUAAUUAUCUUAUGGAGAAACUUAUUCACUGGAAAGGAAAGUAGCAGAAUAAAAGCAAAACAAAACAUCCCACUACUCUAGUAAAACCACUCGAAACAACCAAUUUCUUAUCUUUCUCAAAAUAGCUGCAAUUUAGGGAAAUAUUAAUCUGUCUCUAAAUUGAAAAUUGUCCAACCAUCCAGGUUACUCAGAAAAAAAAAAGCUGUUUAAAAAUUUUAAUAAAUUUUAAUGGCAAUUAAGCCAUUUCUAUCUUGUCUCUGGCAAGGUGUAAAGAAUUGUUGUAUGAAGCAGCCAUUAUUAGGGUUUCUUUAAAGUUUUAGCCAGGGCAGAGUGAAGAUCAAAACAAUUGGCAGUGAAGGAAAAGAUGGCUCAGGGCAUGUGGCAAUAUGACAUUAAAGAUUACAUCAGAUACAGUCUGUCUUCGGAAUGACCAUAUGUCCUUUCCAUCUGAUGUCUGUUUCAGGACUCAAAGAAAUGAAUUAAAGGUUUUGGAUAUGCUUUAAAAGAGUGUUCCUUCAUCACCUGUAUUAGGUUUGUUUACAAAUCAGAUAUGUUUCAAAUGGAUCAAAUGUGCAUAAUAACAAAAUUGUAUUUUUCCUAAAAAUUUGGACGUUGAUUCCUUUUAGGUUCUGUGGGUUUGUAACAUUGAGUCCUAGGAUGAAGUAUAGAUAUUUUGUGUUCUUUUCACUUAGAGAAAGAAGAGAAUUUUUUUCCCUGGUUUUAAGCUAAAUACAGGAAUGAAAUGGAAAGAAAUAAUAGAAGAAAGACUUUUGUAGGGAUGACUUUUAAAGAAAAGGCAAGAAUUCCCUUGUAAUUAAGGAUCUGGUGUUGUUACUGUAGCAGCCUGAGUCGCUUCUUCUGUGGUACAGGUUUUAUCCCUGUCCUAGGAACUUCCAUGUGCCACAGGGAAGGCCAAAAAAAAAAAAAAAAACCAAAAACCAAAAA